ACUCCGUGCCAGCAGCCGCGGUAAUACGGAGGGUGCAAGCGUUGUCCGGAAUCAUUGGGCGUAAAGAGUUCGUAGGUGGUUUGUUAAGUUUGGUGUUAAAUGCAGAGGCUCAACUUCUGUUCGGCAUCGGAUACUGGCAGACUAGAAUGCGGUAGAGGUAAAGGGAAUUCCUGGUGUAGCGGUGAAAUGCGUAGAUAUCAGGAGGAACAUCGGUGGCGUAAGCGCUUUACUGGGCCGUAAUUGACACUGAGGAACGAAAGCUAGGGUAGCAAAUGGGAUUAGAUACCCCAGUAGUCCUGGCCGUAAACGAUGGAUACUAGGUGUUGCGGGUAUCGACCCCUGCAGUGCCGUAGCAAACGCGUUAAGUAUCCCGCCUGGGGAGUACGCACGCAAGUGUGAAACUCAAAGGAAUUGACGGGGACCCGCACAAGCGGUGGAACAUGUGGUUUAAUUCGAAGCAACGCGAAGAACCUUACCAGGGCUUGACAUCUAACAAACCUUUGUGAAAGCAGAGGGUGCUCUUCGGAGAAUGUUAAGACAGGUGGUGCACGGUUGUCGUCAGCUCGUGUCGUGAGAUGUUGGGUUAAGUCCCGCAACGAGCGCAACCCUCGUCGUUAGUUGGUACUAUCGGUAUACUUAUAGUAACCUCUCUAGCGAGACUGCCGGUGAUAAACCGGAGGAAGGUGAGGACGAUGUCAAAUCAUCAUGCCCCUUAUGCUCUGGGCUACACACGUGUUACAAUGGCCGGUACAAUGAGCCGCCAACUCGCGAGAGUGAGCAAAUCUCUAAAAGCCGGUCUCAGUUCGGAUUGCAGUCUGCAACUCGACUGCAUGAAGUCGGAAUCGCUAGUAAACGCAGAUCAGCACGCUGCGUUGAAUACGUUCCCGGGUCUUGUACACACCGCCCGUCACACCAUGGAAGUCGACCACGCCCGAAGUACGUGAGCUAACCGUAAGGAAGCAGCGUCCUAAGGCAGGGUUGGUGACUGGGGUGAAGUCGUAACAAGGUAGCCGUACCGGAAGGUGUGGCUG
Molecule: ribosomal RNA, 1031 nt
Filed under: human gut metagenome
Description: bacterial SSU rRNA
Rfam family: Bacterial small subunit ribosomal RNA
Source: RNAcentral